UUUGAAACUCCCCGAAGAUGAGAGUGAUAUCGCAGAGGUUUAAAAGGGACCUUCUCAAGAGCGAAACAGUCGAACGCUCAUGUUUCAUCCUGUGAUAAAAUGGCAUCCGCGUCUUUCAAGGGCACCCGCAAGACGUACAGCUUCGAGGAGCGGAAAAUUCUGAUAUCGUUAAUAAAUAAGCACGAGAUCAUCGAGAACAGGAAGUCGGAUCCGAUCUCCAUAUGUAAACGGAAGUCUGCGUGGUCGCAAAUCGCCGAGGAGUAUAACUGGAUAGUCGGGACGCAGGGUGCGCGUUCCGCGAUACAGCUCAGACGUUGCUGGGAGAACAUGAAGACGUGCAAGCGCAAUCGCGAGGAGAAGAAAUCUCGUGAUAGUACGAAAGCGGUUUAUCAAUCGAUAAAAGAUGAAAAACUGACAAAGAACCAAUGCUGGGAGGGUGUAACUUGCGGCCAAAAUACAUCGGAAGCGCCAACAUCCACUGGAACUGUGGGAUUACCACCGAACGUAGUAUUCGAGCCGAAAGAUUCGGAGCCAUUUACAUUGCAAAGCGUUUGCACUGCCAGACCUCAAAAUCUAAGUUGCUCAUGGAAAGAUAAGGAUAAUUGCAGAGACUUAGGUGGCGAUACAUUCAGACAAACUGUUGCCAAUGAGAACAAAUUUGACGCCGUUGCAUCGCUCCACGAUCCGAUGGGUGAUUAUUAUGACAAAUUUGUGGAAAGAAACGCCGAUUCGCCUGCAGUCGAUCAAUUAACGGAGGAUGGCGUUGAAAAGAGUCACGCAAAAAGACUGACUACUUCGCAAACUUUAGUCUCACCCAUCGUUAUGCAGGAGCAGAAUCGUAAGAGGAAAUCGGCGCAACGAGAAGAAGAAUUACAUGUGCUUGCGCUCUCAGAGGCGCAAUUAAAGGUCGAUAUUGCCGCUAUGUUGAAGGAGGAGGCGAAAAUCAAAUUGGAGGAGGCUCAUUAUCGCAAGGAAGAAGCCAGACUUAGAAUGCUGCUGUUUACUUACAAACUGGACAGAAAGGAAGAGGAAAUUUAAAAAGAUUGAAAAAAGGACCACUUUUGUUGGACGCAACAUUUCGCAACAUAGAAUACAUAUUAACGGAGGUCUGCCUAUGAUGGGCCCGCCGGCGGUACCAAACGGACGAGGGUUGUAGACACCACCUUCGCCUAUGUACCCGCCACCCACGAUUCCGCCAUCGCUACCGCUCCCGUAUCCUCCAACUGGUCGCACCGAACCGUAAGGACCACCGGGAUAAUGAGGUCGUGGCUCGUUACCAUGGCUUUGAGGUCCGCGAACAUCAUCGACGAAUCCGUGCGAAUACAUUCCGUGUCCUGACGGCGGAUACCUGCUGUUUAUC
Molecule: RNA transcript, 1360 nt
Organism: Nylanderia fulva
Lineage: Eukaryota; Metazoa; Arthropoda; Insecta; Hymenoptera; Formicidae
Source: RefSeq, a predicted model, not a curated record